CUAGUAUCACGUUUAUUUUACUUUUAGUAUUGUGUUUAAUUUUUAAAGUAUUUUUUUUUUAAUCCAUUUUAACAGAACGUGUAUCAAAGCAAUAACUUAUUAAGCAUAGUUGUUUGAAAAAUAGCUUAGCCCUCCUUUAAAAUGAGAUAAAGACAGGGAAAUGUGUGUCUGCCCAGUUUGAGACCGAGAUGACGAUACAAAUACUAUUAUUUAUAAGGUGUUCGAUGUCAGCUUCUUCAUCACCGGUCUGACGUCCAUUCCAUACCAGUUAGAAGUUUUCAUCUAAUAUUUUAAAGACUUUUAAAUUAGUACAGUAUACGCAUUCAAAAAUAGCUAGCCUUAAAUGUAAGCCCAAGGAAUAACUUCUGGCACAAAGGACAUCUUAAGUCCCAAGGUUGGUGGCGCAUUUGUGUAAUGUAAGGAAUGGUUGUUAUUACUUACAGCGUCAAUGUCUAUGGGCGGUGGUGACCACUUACCAUCAGGUGGCCUAUUUGACCAUUCGCUUAUAUUAAAAAAAUAUAUGUAAUCGGCUAAUUCAUUACCGUGCGUAUUGUUAUUAAUUUAAUGUCAUUUGUCGUAAUAACUACUUAAGCCUAUUGAUUAUGUAACUGUUUAAUAUUUUGUAGUGUUAGGUAUUAUUAUGUAUUACCCUACGGUUAGUACUAUAAGGACUAGUACUUAGAACUAGACUAGUAGUAAUAAGUCAUGUAAUCGUCAUCUUCGGUAAUAUUUGGAAAAAAAUAUAAUAAUAUGUUUCGUA
This is a long non-coding RNA of Vanessa atalanta (red admiral), 760 nucleotides long. RefSeq lists it as uncharacterized. The record is from RefSeq and is a predicted model, not a curated record. The transcript is spliced from 3 exons. NCBI's taxonomy places the organism in Eukaryota, Metazoa, Arthropoda, Insecta, Lepidoptera, Nymphalidae.